AUGCACAUGAAUGCAGGGAUCUUGUUAAAUGCAGAUUCUGAUUCAGAAUUCCUAAAACAGAGCCUGCAUCUACAUUUCUAAUAAGCUCCCAGAUGAUGCCAAU
RNAcentral lists this microRNA precursor (103 nucleotides) under Marmota monax (woodchuck). The record is from RNAcentral. Lineage: Eukaryota; Metazoa; Chordata; Mammalia; Rodentia; Sciuridae.